This 951-nucleotide ribosomal RNA is filed under the name uncultured bacterium. Its description in RNAcentral is "bacterial SSU rRNA". It matches the Rfam family "Bacterial small subunit ribosomal RNA", at positions 1 to 964 of the family's 1533-position model. The record is from RNAcentral.
UGAAGAGUUUGAUCCUGGCUCAGGAUGAACGCUAGCGGCAGGCUUAACACAUGCAAGUCGAGGGGUAUUCUAGCAAUAGGAGAGACCGGCGCACGGGUGCGUAACGCGUAUGCAAUCUACCUUUCACAAAGGGAUAGCCCAGAGAAAUUUGGAUUAAUACCUUAUAGUAUAGCGAGUUCGCAUGGAUUUGCUAUUAAAGAUUUAUCGGUGAAAGAUGAGCAUGCGUCCCAUUAGCUAGUUGGUAAGGUAACGGCUUACCAAGGCUACGAUGGGUAGGGGUCCUGAGAGGGAGAUCCCCCACACUGGUACUGAGACACGGACCAGACUCCUACGGGAGGCAGCAGUGAGGAAUAUUGGUCAAUGGGCGCAAGCCUGAACCAGCCAUGCCGCGUGCAGGAUGACGGUCCUAUGGAUUGUAAACUGCUUUUGUACAGGAAGAAACACUCGGACGUGUCCGAGCUUGACGGUACUGUAAGAAUAAGGAUCGGCUAACUCCGUGCCAGCAGCCGCGGUAAUACGGAGGAUCCAAGCGUUAUCCGGAAUCAUUGGGUUUAAAGGGUCCGUAGGCGGCUUAAUAAGUCAGUGGUGAAAUCCCUACGCUUAACGUAGGAACGGCCAUUGAUACUGUUAGGCUUGAAUUAUUAGGAAGUAACUAGAAUAUGUAGUGUAGCGGUGAAAUGCUUAGAGAUUACAUGGAAUACCAAUUGCGAAGGCAGGUUACUACUAAUGGAUUGACGCUGAUGGACGAAAGCGUGGGUAGCGAACAGGAUUAGAUACCCUGGUAGUCCACGCCGUAAACGAUGGAUACUAGCUGUUGGGAGCAAUCUCAGUGGCUAAGCGAAAGUGAUAAGUAUCCCACCUGGGGAGUACGUUCGCAAGAAUGAAACUCAAAGGAAUUGACGGGGGCCCGCACAAGCGGUGGAGCAUGUGGUUUAAUUCGAUGAUACGCGA